Molecule: RNA transcript, 3789 nt
Organism: Choloepus didactylus (southern two-toed sloth)
Lineage: Eukaryota; Metazoa; Chordata; Mammalia; Pilosa; Megalonychidae
Gene: CDK5RAP1
Gene name: CDK5 regulatory subunit associated protein 1
Exons: 15
Source: RefSeq, a predicted model, not a curated record
GGAAGUUGUGAGUGUGUGCGCGCAGCCGGGGAACGGACGAAAAGGACCGGAACUGGCCGGCGUGAAUUUCUGUUGUCGGACGCUGGGCCCUCGGGGUUGUGAGACUGGGCUUUUUAGUGCCAUGCAGCCUUUACAAUGUACCCUCCGACCACAGGGGUCUCUGAGAUGGGUGCCCUUGGCCUCUCUGUCCUGGCUACUGCUCAGGGCCUCCAGGAUGCACAGCUGUUUCCCUAGCACCACAUUUCCCAGUCCAGAGAGACAGCAGAAGAAUGAAGUUCAGAAGGAUUUCAGCUCCAGGCUGGCUAUUGGACCGACGUUUCAGGAUUUUUUAAGAAGUGCUUCAGUUCCUCAGGAGAAACCAUCUUCUCCAGAAGCGGAGGACCCACCCCCCUAUCUCACGGUGGAUGAACUUCUAGGAAAGCAGAGAAAAGUCUACCUUGAGACCUAUGGCUGCCAGAUGAAUGUGAACGAUACAGAGAUAGCUUGGUCCAUCCUGCAGAAGAGUGGCUACCUGCGGACUACUAACCUCCAAGAGGCUGAUGUGAUCCUCCUUGUCACUUGUUCUAUAAGGGAGAAGGCUGAACAGACCAUCUGGAAUCGUUUACAUCAACUUAAAGCCCUGAAGACAAAACGGCUCCACUCCCGAGUGCCUCUGAGGAUUGGGAUUCUAGGGUGCAUGGCAGAGAGGUUGAAGGAGGAGAUCCUCGACAGGGAGAAAAUGGUAGAUCUUUUGGCAGGUCCUGAUGCCUAUCGGGACCUUCCCCGGCUGCUGGCUGUUGCUGAGUCAGGCCAGCAAGCUGCCAACGUGCUGCUCUCUCUGGACGAGACCUAUGCCGAUAUCAUGCCGGUGCAGACAAGCCCCAGUGCCACCUCUGCUUUUGUGUCAAUCAUGCGAGGUUGUGACAACAUGUGUAGCUAUUGCAUCGUUCCUUUCACACGUGGCCGGGAGAGGAGUCGGCCUGUUGCCUCCAUUCUAGAGGAAGUGAGGAAACUUUCUGAACAGGGUCUGAAAGAAGUGACGCUCCUUGGUCAAAAUGUUAAUAGUUUUCGGGACAAUUCAGAAAUCCAGUUCAACAAUACAGUGUCCACCAACCUCAGCCGUGGCUUCACCACUAACUAUAAAACCAAGCAAGGGGGUCUUCGUUUUGCUCACCUUUUAGAUCAGGUCUCCAGAGUAGAUCCUGAAAUGAGGAUCCGUUUCACCUCUCCCCACCCCAAGGACUUUCCUGAUGAGGUUCUGCAACUGAUUCAUGAGAGAGACAACAUCUGUAAACAGAUCCAUCUGCCUGCCCAGAGUGGAAGCAGCCGUGUAUUGGAGGCCAUGCGUCGGGGAUAUUCAAGAGAAGCUUAUGUGGAGUUGGUUCACCAUAUCAGAGAUUCUAUUCCAGGUGUGAGCCUCAGCAGUGAUUUCAUUGCUGGUUUUUGUGGUGAGACAGAGGAAGAUCACCUCCAGACAGUGUCAUUGCUUCGGGAAGUUCGGUACAACAUGGGCUUUCUCUUUGCCUACAGCAUGAGACAGAAAACACGGGCAUAUCAUAGGCUAAAGGACAAUGUCCCAGAAGAGGUAAAAUUAAGGCGUUUGGAGGAACUCAUUACUGUCUUCAGAGAAGAGGCAACAAAAACCAACAAGGCUUCUGUGGGCUGUGCCCAGCUGGUGCUGGUGGAGGGGCUCAGCAAACGCUCUGCUAAUGACCUGUGUGGCCGGAAUGAUGGAAACCUUAAGGUGAUCUUCCCUGAUGUGGAGAUGGAGGAUGUCACUAACCCUGGGUUCAGGGUCAGAGCCCAGCCUGGUGACUAUGUGCUGGUGAAGAUCACCUCCGCCAGCUCUCAGACGCUUAAAGGACAUGUUCUCUGCAAGACCACUCUGAAGGACUCCUCAGCAUAUUGCUGACUUGAAGUGGAGGCAAGAGUUACUUGGGCCAUCCUAACAAUAGGAAGGGAGAUAAGACUGGUCACUGGUUAAGAGGAGUUAAAAGACUGCACGAGGGGAACAUGGGGAGAGAGCCACUUGCUUGGGAAAAUCUGCUCUAGAACUUUCUGAAAUUUUAGUUUGACACCAUUGAUUCAACUGCCUAUCUUCUCACUUUAUUCUAUGUUUCUUACAUGAGGAUUUCCUUUAUGGACUUAUUCCUUAGCCUGUCAGUUCAUUCUUUGGAAAUGUCAUUACCCACCAAUAGCUUCAGAGCAGUGGUUUCUGGCCCAUUCACCACCAGUUUCAUUAAAACAACAACAGCAAUAACAACAAACACAAAGUCAACAACAACAACAACAAACACCAAGUCAUAGUAGCGUGAAAUAUUUGGAGUCGAUAGGACUUUAAUUCAAAUCCCCACUCCAUUGCUUAAAAGCUGUGAGUCCUCGAGCAAGUUUAUGCUUUAUUCUUCUGAGCCUUGGCUCUCUCAUGUGUGAUGUGGAGAUAGUAAUAAAAUGCUUAUCUCAUUUAAUGCUUUUGGUGUUCACUGAGAUUAUUCUCAUAAAGAGCUUAGCACAGUCUAUGGCAUUUUUUAAGCUCUUUUCUUAUUAAAUUGAAGUAGUCAUUGAAUGAUUUUCCUUUAUAAACUGACUGCAUUUAUUAGGAAAUGCUGAGGUUUAUUGUGUUUCUGGCCAUGAUCUCCUUUUGGCUUUUUCCAUUGACCUCCUUGACAGCCUUUGGAAAUCCCAGACUGGAAAAUCUCUUCCUCAGGCGUUAGUUUGGCCUGGGAAGUUUGGUUUCUAUUCUCAGGGCCCAUCUUCUACUGAGGAGGACUUGUGUUAUGGUUCUUUAUCCCAGUUCUUCAUUCAAAAGACAUGUUAUAAAAGGGUUUGGAAAUUUAUUUUACUUUUUAAAAAAAGUAAAACAUACAUGUGGCAAAUAAUCACUUUCCUCUAAUGCUCUAGUUCCCUUUUACAAAAGCCAGCACUUUCAUCAUUUUUUAGUUUACCUCUUCAGAGAGAAUCUUUUUAUAUGCAAUGAUUUAUAUGUACAUUUGUUUUACACAAGUGGUUGCUAACUGUAGAUACUAUUCUUUUUUUAAAAAAUAGUUUUGUUCAAGUAUAUAUAAUUAACCUAGUGUUGAUAUUCCCCCAUAUUUAAAGUGUAUAAUUUGAUAAGUUUUGACAUAUGUAUACACCUAUGAGACCAUCACCAAAUCAAGAUAGUGAAUAUAUCUAUCACUCCUGAAAUUUUCUUGUUCCCUCUUGUACACCCUCCUUCUCUGACAUCCCUAUCAUCAAGCAACCAUUGAUCUUUCUGUCACAAAUUCUGAUAUGUUUUACUUUUGUUUUCAUUGAGUUCAGAAUACUUUCAAAAUUCUCUUUUGAUUUCUUCUUUGACCCUUGGGUUAUUUAGAAGUGUCAUUUAAUUUUCAGAUAUUUGGGGAAUUUUCCAGAGAUUUUUUAUGUUACUGAUUUCUAAUUCCAUUGUGACCAAAGCAUGACUUUUGUCAUUUGAAGUUAUUGAAGCUUGUUUCAUGAUUUCCAAUAUUAUCCAUUUUGGUAACUAUUCAGUGUCCACUUGAGAAGAAUGUAUGUUCUGCUGUUGUUGGGUGAGUGUUCUAUAAAUUCAUUCAAUUCAAGAUGGAUAAUAUUGUUCAAGUCUAAUAAACUUGCUUAGUUUCUGCCUACUCUUUCUGUCAGUUAUUAAGAGAGGACUGUUGUGACAGUAACUGUGGAUUUGUCCCUGCAGUUCUAUCAGUUUUUGAUUUAUGCAUUUUGAAGCUGUAUUAACAUGUGAAUACAGGCAUACCUUGGAGAUACUGUGGGUUUGGUUCCAGACCACUGCAGUAAAGCAAAUAUUGCAAUAAAGCAAGU